CGGGACAGGGUUUUUGCUGCCCGGGGCCUAGUCUACCUCGGCACGCUUUUCUCUGAAGGAGACACGCACUUGCACGACGUGGGCCUCUGUGCAGCUCUACUUUGUCCUUAACUCCUCUGACUCAACGUUAUCGCAGUUUGACUCUGGAGCCACUCAGGUUUUUCCUAAGCUCAACUCUAGCCAGCUAGGUUCCUGGUGCUUUGGGGAAUAGGAGCUGUGCUAAUGGUUUGGAGACCGUCAAUUGGCCUAGCACUUGGC
This 258-nucleotide long non-coding RNA is filed under the name Homo sapiens (human). RNAcentral's name for it is "non-protein coding lnc-LARP4-6:2". Lineage: Eukaryota; Metazoa; Chordata; Mammalia; Primates; Hominidae. The record is from RNAcentral.